This 465-nucleotide ribosomal RNA is filed under the name uncultured bacterium. Its description in RNAcentral is "partial 16S ribosomal RNA". It matches the Rfam family "Bacterial small subunit ribosomal RNA", at positions 339 to 795 of the family's 1533-position model. The record is from RNAcentral.
CUACGGGGUGCAGCAGUGAGGAAUUUUGCGCAAUGGGGGGAACCCUGACGCAGCAACGCCGCGUGAGUGAUGAAGGCUUUCGGGUCGUAAAGCUCUGUCAAGUGGGAAGAACCUAUGCAGUGUUAAUAUCACUGUAUACUGACGGUACCACUGAAGGAAGCACCGGCUAGCUCCGUGCCAGCAGCCGCGGUAAUACGGGGGGUGCAAGCGUUAUUCGGAAUCAUUGGGCGUAAAGGGCACGUAGGCGGCUUGGUAAGUCAGAUGUGAAAGCCCGGGGCUUAACCCCGGAAGUGCAUUUGAUACUGUCAGGCUUGAGUAUGGGAGAGGGAAGUGGAAUUCCUGGUGUAGAGGUGAAAUUCGUAGAUAUCAGGAGGAACACCGGUGGCGAAGGCGACUUCCUGGACCAAUACUGACGCUGAGGUGCGAAGGCGUGGGUAGCAAACAGGAUUAGAUACCCUCGUAGUC